UAUUGCACAAUGGGGGAAACCCUGAUGCAGCGACGCCGCGUGAGUGAUGAAGUAUUUCGGUAUGUAAAGCUCUAUCAGCAGGGAAGAAAAUGACGGUACCUGACUAAGAAGCACCGGCUAAAUACGUGCCAGCAGCCGCGGUAAUACGUAGGGGGCAAGCGUUAUCCGGAUUUACUGGGUGUAAAGGGAGCGUAGACGGCUGUGCAAGCCAGAUGUGAAAACCCGGGGCUCAACCCCGGGACUGCAUUGGAAACUGUUUUUCUAGAGUGUCGGAGAGGCAAGUGGAAUUCCUAGUGUAGCGGUGAAAUGCGUAGAUAUUAGGAGGAACACCAGUGGCGAAGGCGGCUUGCUGGACGAUGACUGACGUUGAGGCUCGAAAGCGUGGGGAGCAAACAG
Molecule: ribosomal RNA, 396 nt
Filed under: uncultured bacterium
Lineage: Bacteria
Description: bacterial SSU rRNA
Rfam family: Bacterial small subunit ribosomal RNA
Source: RNAcentral